Molecule: unclassified non-coding RNA, 232 nt
Filed under: Hevea brasiliensis (rubber tree)
Lineage: Eukaryota; Viridiplantae; Streptophyta; Magnoliopsida; Malpighiales; Euphorbiaceae
Source: RNAcentral
GGGGGAGCCCUACCAAGAGAAUGGUCAUCCCAGACAGGCCUAAAGAAGAAGAUUAUUUCUAUUCUAACCCUGAAGAGUGUCUGCAAUUUUCAAAGGAAGGGUUGAGUAGUACAUGAUUUACAUAAAUAUGUGGAGCUUGCGAUUACAUUGCCACCAUUGCUCUCUCAGCUCUAGAUUUUAUUACUAAAGAGAUAUUUAAAAUAGAGUUCCCCGCUUGCAUUCUGGAAACUAU